This 218-nucleotide ribosomal RNA is filed under the name uncultured bacterium. Its description in RNAcentral is "partial 16S ribosomal RNA". It matches the Rfam family "Bacterial small subunit ribosomal RNA", at positions 328 to 539 of the family's 1533-position model. The record is from RNAcentral.
ACGCUCGACACCUACGGGAGGCAGCAGUGAGGAAUAUUGGUCAAUGGGCGCAGGCCUGAACCAGCCAAGUAGCGUGAAGGAUGACUGCCCUAUGGGUUGUAAACUUCUUUUAUAUGGGAAUAAAGUUUUCCACGUGUGGAAUUUUGUAUGUACCAUAUGAAUAAGGAUCGGCUAACUCCGUGCCAGUAGCCGAGGUAAUCUGAGCGGGCUGGCAAGGC